GUGGGGAAUCUUGCGCAAUGGGCGAAAGCCUGACGCAGCCAUGCCGCGUGAAUGAUGAAGGUCUUAGGAUUGUAAAAUUCUUUCACCGGGGACGAUAAUGACGGUACCCGGAGAAGAAGCCCCGGCUAACUUCGUGCCAGCAGCCGCGGUAAUACGAAGGGGGCUAGCGUUGCUCGGAAUUACUGGGCGUAAAGGGAGCGUAGGCGGAUAGUUCAGUCAGAGGUGAAAGCCCAGGGCUCAACCUUGGAACUGCCUUUGAUACUGGCUAUCUUGAGUUUGGGAGAGGUGUGUGGAACUCCGAGUGUAGAGGUGAAAUUCGUAGAUAUUCGGAAGAACACCAGUGGCGAAGGCGACACACUGGCCCAAUACUGACGCUGAGGCUCGAAAGCGUGGGGAGCAAACAGG
This 405-nucleotide ribosomal RNA is filed under the name uncultured Caulobacter sp. RNAcentral describes it as "bacterial SSU rRNA". It matches the Rfam family "Bacterial small subunit ribosomal RNA", at positions 354 to 776 of the family's 1533-position model. The record is from RNAcentral. Lineage: Bacteria; Pseudomonadati; Pseudomonadota; Alphaproteobacteria; Caulobacterales; Caulobacteraceae.